RNAcentral lists this ribosomal RNA (837 nucleotides) under uncultured Pseudomonadota bacterium. Its description in RNAcentral is "bacterial SSU rRNA". It matches the Rfam family "Bacterial small subunit ribosomal RNA", at positions 55 to 867 of the family's 1533-position model. Lineage: Bacteria; Pseudomonadati; Pseudomonadota. The record is from RNAcentral.
AUGCAAGUCGAACGCGAAAGUUCCCUUCGGGGAGCGAGUAGAGUGGCGCACGGGUGAGUAACACGUAGGUAAUCUACCUUUGGAUUGGGAAUAACAACCGGAAACGGUUGCUAAUACCGAAUAAUGCAGCGGCACCUAAUGGUGACAGUUGUUAAAGCGGGGGAUCGCAAGACCUCGCGUCUAAAGAGGAGCCUGCGGCGGAUUAGCUAGUUGGUAAGGUAAUGGCUUACCAAGGCUAUGAUCCGUAGCCGGCCUGAGAGGGCGGUCGGCCACACUGACACUGACAUACGGGUCAGACUCCUACGGGAGGCAGCAGUCGGGAAUUUUGGGCAAUGGGCGAAAGCCUGACCCAGCAACGCCGCGUGAAGGAUGAAAUCCUUCGGGAUGUAAACUUCGCAAGAACGGGAAGAAUAAGUAAGAGCUAACAUCUCUUAUGAUGACGGUACUGUUUGUAAGCUCCGGCUAACUCCGUGCCAGCAGCCGCGGUAAUACGGGGGGAGCAAGCGUUGUUCGGAUUUACUGGGCGUAAAGGGCGCGUAGGCGGCCACCGCAAGUCGAUUGUGAAAUCUCCGGGCUUAACCCGGAAAGGUCAACCGAUACUGCGGGGCUAGAGUGCAGAAGGGGCAACUGGAAUUCUCGGUGUAGCGGUGAAAUGCGUAGAUAUCGAGAGGAACACCUGCGGCGAAGGCGGGUUGCUGGGCUGACACUGACGCUGAAGUGCGAAAGCUAGGGGAGCGAACGGGAUUAGAUACCCCGGUAGUCCUAGCCUUAAACGAUGAAUGCUUGGUGUCUGGGGUUUUAUAGUCCCCGGGGUGCCGUCGCUAACGCUUUAAGCAU